AUACGGAGGAUGCAAGCGUUAUCCGGAUUUAUUGGGUUUAAAGGGUGCGUAGGCGGGACUGUCAGUCAGGGGUGCAAUACUGCAGCUUCACUGUAGCAUUGCCUUUGAAACUGCCGUUCUUGAGUACAGUUGAGGUAGGCGGAAUGUGGUGUGUCGCGGGGAAAUGCAUAGAUAUACCACAGAACGCCGAUUGCGAAGGCAGCUUACUAAGCUGUUACUGACGCUGAGGCACGAAAGCGUGGGGAUCAAACAGGAUUAGAUACCCUGGUAGUCCACGCUGUAAACGAUGAUUACUGGUUGUUAGCGAUAUAUAGCUAGUGACUGAGCGAAAGCAUUAAGUAAUCCACCUGGGGAGUACGUCGGCAACGAUGAAACUCAAAGGAAUUGACGGGG
This 393-nucleotide ribosomal RNA is filed under the name uncultured bacterium. RNAcentral describes it as "partial 16S ribosomal RNA". It matches the Rfam family "Bacterial small subunit ribosomal RNA", at positions 523 to 918 of the family's 1533-position model. The record is from RNAcentral.